UACGAAGGGGGCUAGCGUUGCUCGGAAUCACUGGGCGUAAAGCGCACGUAGGCGGAUUGCUAAGUCAGGGGUGAAAUCCUGGAGCUCAACUCCAGAACUGCCUUUGAUACUGGCGACCUUGAGUCCGGGAGAGGUGAGUGGAACUGCGAGUGUAGAGGUGAAAUUCGUAGAUAUCGGUAGGAACACCCGUGGCGAAGGCGGUCUCCUGGGACGUUCUUGACGCUGAGGCGCGAAAGCUGGGGGAGCGAACGGG
RNAcentral lists this ribosomal RNA (253 nucleotides) under uncultured bacterium. RNAcentral describes it as "partial 16S ribosomal RNA". It matches the Rfam family "Bacterial small subunit ribosomal RNA", at positions 524 to 776 of the family's 1533-position model. The record is from RNAcentral.